GCAGCUGUCAGCAGCAUGGAUGCCAACAUCCACUACACAGGAGGUGGUUCUUCAAGGCAGCAGGAGAGCUCUGGGGAGCCCUGUGUGCAGGAGCAGGCACUAUCCCAGGCCUAACUUGCUACCAGGAACCUGCACAAGAAUUUAGGCUCAGCUGGCACAAGGCUGCAUCUCAGCACUGUCUGGUCAGAGUUAAACCAGCCACUUACUGGAGAGACACCUUUCCAGAGCCCCAGAAUACUCUCAGUACGAACAACCCUAAAGAGCAGCGUCACCAUCCCAGCACGACCAGACCUGAAAUAAAGACAAGACAGGAACUGAAGAAA
This is a long non-coding RNA of Melospiza melodia melodia, 323 nucleotides long. RefSeq lists it as uncharacterized. The record is from RefSeq and is a predicted model, not a curated record. NCBI's taxonomy places the organism in Eukaryota, Metazoa, Chordata, Aves, Passeriformes, Passerellidae. The transcript is spliced from 2 exons.